This 337-nucleotide unclassified non-coding RNA is filed under the name soil metagenome. RNAcentral describes it as "partial contains 5.8S ribosomal RNA, internal transcribed spacer 2, and large subunit ribosomal RNA". The stretch from base 1 to 120 matches the Rfam family "5.8S ribosomal RNA", at positions 35 to 154 of the family's 154-position model. The record is from RNAcentral.
GAUGAAGAACGUAGCGAAAUGCGAAAAGUAGUGUGAAUUGCAGAAUUCAGUGAAUCAUCGAAUCUUUGAACGCACAUUGCGCCCCUUGGUAUUCCGAGGGGCAUGCCUGUUCGAGCGUCAUUACACCACUCAAGCUAUGCUUGGUAUUGGGCGUCGUCCUUAGUUGGGCGCGCCUUAAAGACCUCGGCGAGGCCACUCCGGCUUUAGGCGUAGUAGAAUUUAUUCGAACGUCUGUCAAAGGAGAGGAACUCUGCCGACUGAAACCUUUAUUUUUCUAGGUUGACCUCGGAUCAGGUAGGGAUACCCGCUGAACUUAAGCAUAUCAAUAAGCGGAGGA